This 371-nucleotide unclassified non-coding RNA is filed under the name Hevea brasiliensis (rubber tree). The record is from RNAcentral. Lineage: Eukaryota; Viridiplantae; Streptophyta; Magnoliopsida; Malpighiales; Euphorbiaceae.
AUCCUUCCCUGCUUAUAAGGAUUCAUCCUGCAAUCAAAUCCUUUUAGCAUACAUAAUCAUAGAUUCAUGGCCUAUUUUUAUGAAACUGUAAUAUCAGUAAUGCAAGCAAGGAAAUGAUAUUUAUAUCAUGACCCAUUAACAUAAGGUUAAAGUAUUAAUUUUGCAAAACUUUCUGUUAAGUGAACAAGCAACAUAGCUGUUAAGCAAAAUUAAAGGGUAAUACACAUGUAACCACAAAUCCACAGUCAUAUAGAUGACUGGCUAAACUGGUCUCCUUAAUCCUGGUGUAGAAGAGAUGGUUAAAAAAUAUCCAUGAUUGAGAUAAACAAACAGCAGCAGCCCUUGAAAAUUUAACAAAAUAAAGAAACUAG